AGCGAACGCUGGCGGCAGGCCUAACACAUGCAAGUCGAACGAAGCCUUCGGGCUUAGUGGCGGACGGGUGAGUAACACGUGGGAACGUACCUUUAGGUUCGGAACGACUCAGGGAAACUUGAGCUCAUACCGGAUCAGCCCUUCGGGGGAAAGAUUUAUCGCCUUUAGAGCGGCCCGCGUUAGAUUAGCUAGUUGGUGAGGUAAAGGCUCACCAAGGCUACGAUCUAUAGCUGGUCUGAGAGGAUGAUCAGCCACACUGGGACUGAGACACGGCCCAGACUCCUACGGGAGGCAGCAGUGGGGAAUCUUGCGCAAUGGGCGAAAGCCUGACGCAGCCAUGCCGCGUGAAUGAUGAAGGUCUUAGGAUUGUAAAAUUCUUUUACCAGGGACGAUAAUGGCGGUACCUGGAGAAAAAGCCCCGGCUAACUUCGUGCCAGCAGCCGCCGUAA
RNAcentral lists this ribosomal RNA (449 nucleotides) under uncultured bacterium. RNAcentral's name for it is "partial 16S ribosomal RNA". It matches the Rfam family "Bacterial small subunit ribosomal RNA", at positions 29 to 523 of the family's 1533-position model. The record is from RNAcentral.